Molecule: non-coding RNA, 71 nt
Organism: Aromia moschata
Lineage: Eukaryota; Metazoa; Arthropoda; Insecta; Coleoptera; Cerambycidae
Source: the annotation of a GenBank genome assembly
ACUACGGCGAUAGCUCAGUGGGUAAAGCGCCAGAUCAGAAAUCCGCGUAGGUUCGAAUCCCGCCUGUGGCA